CCUACGGGUGGCUGCAGUGAGGAAUAUUGGUCAAUGGGCGCGAGCCUGAACCAGCCAAGUAGCGUGAAGGAUGACUGCCCUACGGGUUGUAAACUUCUUUUAUAUGGGAAUAAAACAGGGUAUGCAUACCCUCUUGUAUGUACCAUAUGAAUAAGGAUCGGCUAACUCCGUGCCAGCAGCCGCGGUAAUACGGAGGAUCCGAGCGUUAUCCGGAUUUAUUGGGUUUAAAGGGAGCGUAGGUGGAUUGUUAAGUCAGUUGUGAAAGUUUGCGGCUCAACCGUAAAAUUGCAGUUGAAACUGGAAGUAUUGAGUACGGUAGAGGUGGGCGGAAUGCGUGGUGUAGCGGUGAAAUGCUUAGAUAUCACGAAGAACUCCGAUUGCGAAGGCAGUUCACUGGACUGCAACUGACACUGAGGCUCGAAAGUGUGGGUAUCAAACAGGAUUAGAUACCCGUGUAGUC
This 460-nucleotide ribosomal RNA is filed under the name uncultured bacterium. RNAcentral's name for it is "partial 16S ribosomal RNA". It matches the Rfam family "Bacterial small subunit ribosomal RNA", at positions 338 to 795 of the family's 1533-position model. The record is from RNAcentral.